Molecule: ribosomal RNA, 543 nt
Filed under: uncultured bacterium
Lineage: Bacteria
Description: partial 16S ribosomal RNA
Rfam family: Bacterial small subunit ribosomal RNA
Source: RNAcentral
UGGGGAAUAUUGCACAAUGGGCGGAAGCCUGAUGCAGCAACGCCGCGUGAGUGAUGAAGGCCUUCGGGUUGUAAAGCUCUGUCUUUUGGGACGAUAAUGACGGUACCAAAGGAGGAAGCCACGGCUAACUACGUGCCAGCAGCCGCGGUAAUACGUAGGUGGCAAGCGUUGUCCGGAUUUACUGGGCGUAAAGGAUGCGUAGGCGGAUUUUUAAGUGAGAUGUGAAAACCCUAAGCUUAACUUGGGGACUGCAUUUCAUACUGGAAAUCUAGAGUGCGGGAGAGGAGAAUGGAAUUCCUAGUGUAGCGGUGAAAUGCGUAGAGAUUAGGAAGAACACCAGUGGCGAAGGCGAUUCUCUGGACCGUAACUGACGCUGAGGCAUGAAAGCGUGGGUAGCAAACAGGAUUAGAUACCCUGGUAGUCCACGCCGUAAACGAUGAGUACUAGGUGUAGGAGGUAUCGACCCCUUCUGUGCCGCAGUUAACACAAUAAGUACUCCGCCUGGGAAGUACGAUCGCAAGAUUAAAACUCAAAGGAAUUGAC